This 432-nucleotide ribosomal RNA is filed under the name uncultured bacterium. RNAcentral's name for it is "bacterial SSU rRNA". It matches the Rfam family "Bacterial small subunit ribosomal RNA", at positions 29 to 507 of the family's 1533-position model. The record is from RNAcentral.
AACGAACGCUGGCGGCAGGCCUAACACAUGCAAGUCGAGCGCCCCAGCGAUGGGGAGCGGCGGACGGGUGAGUAACGCGUGGGAACGUACCCUUUGCUACGGAAUAGCCUCGGGAAACUGGGAGUAAUACCGUAUGUGCCCUUCGGGGAAAGAUUUAUCGGCAAAGGAUCGGCCCGCGUUGGAUUAGGUAGUUGGUGGGGUAAUGGCCUACCAAGCCGACGAUCCAUAGCUGGUUUGAGAGGAUGAUCAGCCACACUGGGACUGAGACACGGCCCAGACUCCUACGGGAGGCAGCAGUGGGGAAUCUUAGACAAUGGGCGCAAGCCUGAUCUAGCCAUGCCGCGUGAGCGAUGAAGGCCUUAGGGUUGUAAAGCUCUUUCAGGGGGGAAGAUAAUGACUGUACCCCCAGAAGAAGCCCCGGCUAACUCCGUG